Molecule: ribosomal RNA, 433 nt
Filed under: uncultured bacterium
Lineage: Bacteria
Description: partial 16S ribosomal RNA
Rfam family: Bacterial small subunit ribosomal RNA
Source: RNAcentral
AACGAACGCUGGCGGCAGGCCUAACACAUGCAAGUCGAGCGAGAUCUUCGGGUCUAGCGGCGGACGGGUGAGUAACGCGUGGGAAUAUGCCUCUUGGUACGGAAUAGCCUCGGGAAACUGGGAGUAAUACCGUAUGUGCCCUUUGGGGGAAAGAUUUAUCGCCAAGAGAUUAGCCCGCGUUGGAUUAGGUAGUUGGUGGGGUAAUGGCCUACCAAGCCGACGAUCCAUAGCUGGUUUGAGAGGAUGAUCAGCCACACUGGGACUGAGACACGGCCCAGACUCCUACGGGAGGCAGCAGCGGGGAAUCUUAGACAAUGGGGGCAACCCUGAUCUAGCCAUGCCGCGUGAGUGAUGAAGGCCUUAGGGUUGUAAAGCUCUUUCAGCUGGGAAGAUAAUGACGGUACCAGCAGAAGAAGCCCCGGCUAACUCCGUG